Molecule: microRNA, 21 nt
Filed under: Tribolium castaneum (red flour beetle)
Lineage: Eukaryota; Metazoa; Arthropoda; Insecta; Coleoptera; Tenebrionidae
Description: tca-miR-263b-3p
Gene: tca-miR-263b-3p
Source: miRBase by way of RNAcentral
GUGAUUCUUUUAAUGCCAUAU